UGAGUAACACGUAUCCAACCUGCCGUCUACUCUUGACAGCCUUCUGAAAGGAAGAUUAAUACAAGAUGGCAUCAUGAGUCCGCAUGUUCACAUGAUUAAAGGUAUUUCCGGUAGACGAUGGGGAUGCGUUCCAUUAGAUAGUAGGCGGGGUAACGGCCCACCUAGUCUACGAUGGAUAGGGGUUCUGAGAGGAAGGUCCCCCACAUUGGAACUGAGACACGGUCCAA
RNAcentral lists this ribosomal RNA (227 nucleotides) under uncultured bacterium. RNAcentral's name for it is "partial 16S ribosomal RNA". It matches the Rfam family "Bacterial small subunit ribosomal RNA", at positions 107 to 334 of the family's 1533-position model. The record is from RNAcentral.